GUGCCAGCCGCCGCGGUAAUACAGAGGGUGCAAGCGUUAAUCGGAAUUACUGGGCGUAAAGCGCGCGUAGGUGGUUCGUUAAGUUGGAUGUGAAAUCCCCGGGCUCAACCUGGGAACUGCAUUCAAAACUGACGAGCUAGAGUAUGGUAGAGGGUGGUGGAAUUUCCUGUGUAGCGGUGAAAUGCGUAGAUAUAGGAAGGAACACCAGUGGCGAAGGCGACCACCUGGACUGAUACUGACACUGAGGUGCGAAAGCGUGGGGAGCAAACAGGAUUAGA
This 278-nucleotide ribosomal RNA is filed under the name Escherichia coli. RNAcentral's name for it is "partial 16S ribosomal RNA". It matches the Rfam family "Bacterial small subunit ribosomal RNA", at positions 505 to 782 of the family's 1533-position model. Lineage: Bacteria; Pseudomonadati; Pseudomonadota; Gammaproteobacteria; Enterobacterales; Enterobacteriaceae. The record is from RNAcentral.